RNAcentral lists this transfer RNA (70 nucleotides) under Bos taurus (domestic cattle). It matches the Rfam family "tRNA". Rfam says of the family: Transfer RNA (tRNA) molecules are approximately 80 nucleotides in length. Their secondary structure includes four short double-helical elements and three loops (D, anti-codon, and T loops). Further hydrogen bonds mediate the characteristic L-shaped molecular structure. tRNAs have two regions of fundamental functional importance: the anti-codon, which is responsible for specific mRNA codon recognition, and the 3' end, to which the tRNAs corresponding amino acid is attached (by aminoacyl-tRNA synthetases). tRNAs cope with the degeneracy of the genetic code in two manners: having more than one tRNA (with a specific anti-codon) for a particular amino acid; and 'wobble' base-pairing, i.e. permitting non-standard base-pairing at the 3rd anti-codon position. The record is from Rfam by way of RNAcentral. RNAcentral also lists the same sequence under 1 other name. Lineage: Eukaryota; Metazoa; Chordata; Mammalia; Artiodactyla; Bovidae.
GCAGGGGCGGUUCAGUGGUAGGAUUCUUGCCUGCCAGACGGGAGGCCCGGGUUCAAUUCCCGGCCCUGCA